UAGUCCACGCUGUAAACGAUGAUCACUCGCUGCUGGCGAUACACUGUCAGUGGCCAAGCGAAAGCAUUAAGUGAUCCACCUGGGGAGUACGAUCGCAAGGUUGAAACUCAAAGGAAUUGACGGGGGCCCGCACAAGCGGUGGAGCAUGUGGUUUAAUUCGAUGAUACGCGAGGAACCUUACCAGGGCUUAAAUGUACUAUGACCCCUCGGGAAACCGAGGUUCUCUUUGAGCAGAGUACAAGGUGCUGCAUGGUUGUCGUCAGCUCGUGCUGUGAGGUGUCGGGUUAAGUCCCAUAACGAGCGCAACCCCUAUCACUAGUUGCCAGCGAGUAAUGUCGGGGACUCUAGUGAAACUGCCCGCGCAAGCGGUGAGGAAGGUGGGGAUGACGUCAAAUCAUCACGGCCCUUACGUCCUGGGCUACACACGUGCUACAAUGGUUGGUACAAAGGGCAGCGACUGGGUGACCAGAAGCGAAUCUCUAAAGCCAAUCUCAGUUC
RNAcentral lists this ribosomal RNA (498 nucleotides) under uncultured bacterium. RNAcentral's name for it is "bacterial SSU rRNA". It matches the Rfam family "Bacterial small subunit ribosomal RNA", at positions 791 to 1294 of the family's 1533-position model. The record is from RNAcentral.